Molecule: ribosomal RNA, 484 nt
Filed under: uncultured bacterium
Lineage: Bacteria
Description: partial 16S ribosomal RNA
Rfam family: Bacterial small subunit ribosomal RNA
Source: RNAcentral
AUUGAACGCUGGCGGAAUGCCUAACACAUGCAAGUCGAGCGGCAGCACAGCCUGCGCGCUCGCCUCGGGCUGCCGACUGGCGGGUAAUUGAUCGGUACAUCCCCAUCUGCUUUGUCUAGGAGGUCGAAGUAAGGGCAAAUACCCCAUUCCUGCAUACGGGGAACGGGGGGGAUCACAAGAUCUCGCGCGAUUGGACUAGCCGAUGUCGGAUUAGCUAGUUGGCGGGGUAAAGGCGUACCAAGGCGACGAUCCGUAGCUGGUCUGAGAGGAUGAUCAGCCACACUGGAACUGAGACACGGUCCAGACUCCUACGGGAGGCAGCAGUGGGGAAUAUUGGACAAUGGGCGCAAGCCUGAUCCAGCCAUACCGCGUGAGUGAAGAAGGCCUUCGGGUUGUAAAGCUCUUUUGGUAGGAAAGAAAAGCUGCGGUAUAACAUCGUGCGGUAAUGACGGUACCUAAAGAAGAAGCACCGGCUAACUACGUG